Molecule: ribosomal RNA, 254 nt
Filed under: uncultured bacterium
Lineage: Bacteria
Description: partial 16S ribosomal RNA
Rfam family: Bacterial small subunit ribosomal RNA
Source: RNAcentral
UACGUAGGGGCCUAGCGUUGUCCGGAAUUAUUGGGCGUAAAGAGCUCGUAGGCGGUUCGGCAAGUCGGAUGUGAAAUCUCCACGCUCAACGUGGAGGGGCCAUUCGAAACUGCCGUGACUCGAGUCCGGUAGGGGAGUGUGGAAUUCCCGGUGUAGCGGUGAAAUGCGCAGAUAUCGGGAGGAACACCAGUGGCGAAGGCGACUUCCUGGCCUGUUCUUGACGCUGAGGCGCGAAAGCUAGGGGAGCAAACGGG